AUUUCUUUUAGCACCCCGGGAUUAACUACAUCUCACGGCUAUUUGCUACCUAAGAAGCGCCCCCGUAUACUAAAGCAGCCUGCUGAUUGGUUGAAUUUGUGAUGUUUAUUCAUUGCAUUUCUGUCUAAAACAUGUGAUGAUUAUUGCUUUUCCUUCAUACAUUGUAUUACCCCUUUUGCCUGUGACUAUUGUAUAGUUGCUUUUCCUGUGAAUAGUGUAUCGGC
Molecule: non-coding RNA, 224 nt
Organism: Pelobates cultripes (western spadefoot toad)
Lineage: Eukaryota; Metazoa; Chordata; Amphibia; Anura; Pelobatidae
Source: the annotation of a GenBank genome assembly